Molecule: ribosomal RNA, 491 nt
Filed under: uncultured bacterium
Lineage: Bacteria
Description: partial 16S ribosomal RNA
Rfam family: Bacterial small subunit ribosomal RNA
Source: RNAcentral
AGUGAACGCUGGCGGUAGGCCUAAUACAUGCAAGUCGAACGGCAGCACAGUAAGAGCUUGCUCUUACGGGUGGCGAGUGGCGGACGGGUGAGGAAUACAUCGGAAUCUACUUUUUCGUGGGGGAUAACGUAGGGAAACUUACGCUAAUACCGCAUACGACCUACGGGUGAAAGCAGGGGAGCUUCGGACCUUGCGCGAUUGAAUGAGCCGAUGUCGGAUUAGCUAGUUGGCGGGGUAAAGGCCCACCAAGGCGACGAUCCGUAGCUGGUCUGAGAGGAUGAGCAGCCACUGUGGAACUGAGACACGGUCCAGACUCCUACGGGAGGCAGCAAUGGGGAAUAUUGGACAAUGUGCGCAAGCCUGUACCAGCCAUACCGAGUGGGUGAAGAAGGCCUUCGGGUUGUAAAGCCCUUUUGUUGGGAAAGAAAAGCAGCAGGUUAAUACCCCGCUGUUCUGACGGUACCAAAAGAAUAAGCACCGGCUAACUUCGU